Long non-coding RNA from Cavia porcellus (domestic guinea pig), 986 nucleotides. RefSeq lists it as uncharacterized. The record is from RefSeq and is a predicted model, not a curated record. The transcript is spliced from 3 exons. Lineage: Eukaryota; Metazoa; Chordata; Mammalia; Rodentia; Caviidae.
AGUGAGAUUCAGUGGCGGGCAGCGGCUGGGGUCUUGCGCUCCUGGCUCUGCGCCUCUCGGGCGAUGCCCGCAGUCAGCUGCAUGGGGUGGUGUGUGUGUAUGUGUUCCUCCUCUAGUAUUUAUGUUCUGAUCUGAAUUCAUCCAGGGUCCAGGAUGGCCAUCCGACACCAAGACCAGCAGUACAGGCCGAGGAUGGCAUUUCUGCAACAGGAAAAGUAAUGUGAGGACCUUCCAAAUCUGUGUGAGGAGAAAGCUUUGAAGCUGGAAGGAGAUGAGGCAUCUACUGGGGAGCAGGAUCAAGGUCCAGGCAGCAGGAGGUGUGGUGCAGCCGGGGGAAAACAUUCUCACCAGCCAGGAUGCAACCACUUGGGAUGCCCGGAUUCCUUUUGAUGUGGUGGAACAGAAAAAAAAAAAAACACAAAAAACAAAAAAUGGGCAACUGAAAUGAAUGGAUGCUUCUCAGAAGAAGGAGACUGAGAAAAUGUUCAAUCUUGCUGGCCAUUAGAGAAACACAAAUUAAAACAAUAUUGAAAUCCCGUCUUACUACAGAAAGAAUGGCUGUCAUCAAGAAAUCAAAUAAUAAAUGCUGGUAAGGAUUCAGGGAAAAGGAAUCCUUAUACAUUGUUGGUGGGAAUGUAAAUCACUAUGGAAAUCGGCAUGGAGAUCCCUCCAAACACUAAAAAUAGAAAUUCCAUUUGACCCAGCAACUCCGCUUCUAGGAAUCUUUCCAAAAGAGUUAAAGUCAUCAUAUUACUGUGAUACAUGCAUGACCAUGUUUAUAAGAGCACAACCUAUAAUAACUAAAUCUUGGAAACAGCUUAUACCAUAUGCAUAUCAACAGAUGAAUGAAUAAAGAAAAUGUGGUAUUUAUGUAAAGUGGGAUGCCACUCUGCCACAGAGAAGGCUAAGUUUGAUUCAUUUGUAAAGUGAAUAUACCUUAAGAUUACAAUGUUCAGUAAAAUAAAGCAGACUGAUAAGUUUAACUA